Long non-coding RNA from Helianthus annuus (common sunflower), 1330 nucleotides. RefSeq lists it as uncharacterized. The transcript has 4 exons. The record is from RefSeq and is a predicted model, not a curated record. NCBI's taxonomy places the organism in Eukaryota, Viridiplantae, Streptophyta, Magnoliopsida, Asterales, Asteraceae.
AUGAAAAGUAAAAAGGUAUUAAUCGAAUAGCUGAUUAAACCCUCACACUCAGAACUCCACCAGACUCCCCAUCCUCGUCCCCUCACACCGCUUUCUCCACCGGCAAUGAUCAACCUCAUCUCCACCGGACGCGACAUCUCCACCGCUCUCUCCACCGGCAAUGAUCAAUGAUCGGAAAAUGUUGAAGCUUUCGAGCUCGAACAUCUCCACCGGAAAACGAUUUUGCAAAUGAAACAUCCUGAUCGGAAAACAGUGACGCAGAACUCCGACGGUUUCCACAAGGUCUGACUCGAUUCUAUUAAUUUCAAGAUAUUGAAUGUCAAUUUAUUUCAAAAGAAAUCAACAGGAGACAACAAGUUGUGACCCAAGCUGGACUGUUUGUGUACAAUCAUUUACAUGAAGAUCCAUCCAGAGAAUACUUGAUUUCAAUGGAUUAUGAGUGGCAUAUGAGCUCAUGAUUGUCAUCUGUCAAUGGAUUGGAUUGGCCAUGCAAUGGCACAUGCCUCAAAAGGGAAGCUUUUCUAUGCUUUUCUUUUUCUUUUUUUAACAACCUAUAGAUUGUUGAAGAUUGCUCAAGUUAUUAUAACUGCUUGGCUGUUUGCUUUUAGUUUUGUUAGAAUUCUUUUCAUGGUUAUGACAUUUGGUGUAUCACCUGCACUAUUUCAUGAUCCGCUAAUGGAUCUUAUGGUGGGUCGAACCCACCAUUCUCUUUUUCUGUUUAGACAAUGAUCAAAUUCCUAGAAUUAUAUGUGUACAUUUGUAUGAAUUUUAGCAUUCAGCGUGGUUUUAAAAAGCAAAACGGGGUUUCAGUAUCUGCGGGUUCGAUCGAGGUGGAUGCGGUGACGGGCGGAGCUGAAGGAGAACGGGUUCAGGAGCACGCGGAGGACGAAGCUGGUGUGCACGAUCGGACCAGCAGAUACUGUUUCACUUUUUUUUAAGUUAAUAAACCAAACACAUCUACCACACUUUUUACUAAUAUGCAUUCAUCGGGCGAUGAUCGGAGCUAAAAACGAUGUCGUUUAUGUAUGAUAUGUUUGUUUUGCAGUCGUUUCCGAGGGCCGUCUGGUUGGACGGAAGUGGGAGGCAGCUGAUCCAAUCGCCUGUGGAGGAGAUUUGAUGAUAAUUUAUUUUCAUCCAUCUGGAACAUGCAGGAGAGUAUCUUGCUUCUGGUGCUGUUGGUGGUGAGCUGAUAAUAUGGAAGCAGAACAAAAUACUGACUCUGGUCAAGUAUGGAAGGUCCUCAAGACACUAUCGUACGGCCUUUCGUUUCUAACAUAUAACAUAUAUGUUGAUAUUGAUAUGUAAGCAAUAUACUAUCAGAUAAGCACUA